GCCCAGGUGGUGGAAUGGCAGACACAGGGGACUUAAAAUCCCCCGAAGGUAACUUCAUGCGGGUUCGAGUCCCGCCUUGGGCA
RNAcentral lists this transfer RNA (83 nucleotides) under Armatimonadota bacterium. Its description in RNAcentral is "tRNA-Leu". It matches the Rfam family "tRNA". Rfam says of the family: Transfer RNA (tRNA) molecules are approximately 80 nucleotides in length. Their secondary structure includes four short double-helical elements and three loops (D, anti-codon, and T loops). The record is from RNAcentral. Lineage: Bacteria; Bacillati; Armatimonadota.